RNAcentral lists this non-coding RNA (183 nucleotides) under Acidibacillus sp. RNAcentral's name for it is "6S RNA". It matches the Rfam family "6S / SsrS RNA". Rfam says of the family: E. coli 6S RNA was the first non coding RNA to be sequenced, but its function was unknown until recently. It consists of 184 nucleotides that fold into an extended hairpin structure with a large single-stranded internal bulge. Lineage: Bacteria; Bacillati; Bacillota; Bacilli; Caryophanales; Alicyclobacillaceae. The record is from RNAcentral.
CAUCACCUGCAGUGUUCGUAUUCGGGACCUUUGUUUUGAACCGUAUGUGUUUUAAAGGGAGACAGAUUCCAUCUCGUGCUGGCAAGCCCUCUUGAAGGGAAGUCAAAUACCGACAUGCUAGUCGCCCACCUGCGAGAGCGGGUUCAUAAAACACCCGUUCCAUACGGCACAUGCGGGUGCUGA